GUGAGGAAUAUUGCGCAAUGGAGGCAACUCUGACGCAGCCAUGCCGCGUGCAGGAAGAAGGCGCUACGCGUUGUAAACUGCUUUUAACCGGGAAGAAACCCCAGGACGUGUCCUGGGUUGACGGUACCGGAGGAAUAAGCACCGGCUAACUUCGUGCCAGCAGCCGCGGUAAUACGAAGGGUGCAAGCGUUAUCCGGAUUCAUUGGGUUUAAAGGGUGCGUAGGCGGAGCGUUAAGUCAGUGGUGAAAUCCUGCAGCUUAACUGUAGACUUGCCAUUGAUACUGGCGCUCUUGAGUGCGCUUGAAGUGGGCGGAAUGUGCCGUGUAGCGGUGAAAUGCUUAGAUAUGGCACAGAACACCAAUUGCGAAGGCAGCUCACUAAGGCGAUACUGACGCUGAGGCACGAAAGCGUGGGGAUCGAACAGGAUUAGAAACCCUAGUAGUCC
Molecule: ribosomal RNA, 445 nt
Filed under: uncultured bacterium
Lineage: Bacteria
Description: bacterial SSU rRNA
Rfam family: Bacterial small subunit ribosomal RNA
Source: RNAcentral